This 70-nucleotide transfer RNA is filed under the name Bos taurus (domestic cattle). It matches the Rfam family "tRNA". Rfam says of the family: Transfer RNA (tRNA) molecules are approximately 80 nucleotides in length. Their secondary structure includes four short double-helical elements and three loops (D, anti-codon, and T loops). RNAcentral also lists the same sequence under 5 other names. Lineage: Eukaryota; Metazoa; Chordata; Mammalia; Artiodactyla; Bovidae. The record is from Rfam by way of RNAcentral.
UCCCCAUUGGCUCAACGGUAAAGAAUCUGCCUGCAGUGCAGAAGACACAGGUUCGAUCCCAGGUGGGGAA